GGGGGUGAACGGUCUCGACGGUGACAGUGUCCUUUUCAGGCAGCAGGCUGCGGAUGGUCGUGGGCCGCAUAUAAAUCCGACCGCUUUAAACUGCCAAUAACAUGGCAAUGGCAACCUGCUAAAGGUUACCCGGCGCCCCCGGCAUGUUCGCCGGCCGGGGUGAGGCCGUCAUCAGGCGGGCUUGCGCGGAAGAGCGUUUCCCUGUUUCGCGUGAGAAAACAGGAAACUGCCCCGGCCGUAUUUCGUCUGCGGAAGACGGCCACGGGGGAGACCUAAAACGCGGACUAAGCCUGUAGAUACCCGGAAGGUGCUUUAUCGGACGCGGGUUCGACUCCCGCCACCUCCAAUA
RNAcentral lists this transfer-messenger RNA (349 nucleotides) under Elusimicrobia bacterium CG_4_10_14_3_um_filter_49_12_50_7. It matches the Rfam family "transfer-messenger RNA". From Rfam's summary of the family: Bacterial tmRNA, also known as 10Sa RNA or SsrA, is named for its dual tRNA and mRNA-like properties. Lineage: Bacteria; Pseudomonadati; Elusimicrobiota. The record is from RNAcentral.